UUGCAGCUGAAAAACUAUAAAGUAGAGAAUUCUACCUUAGAGCAAAACCAUCUUCAGUGACAAAUUUCAAAGGCCAUAUGUAUGCGAUUUUCAUGAAAAGCAGACGACCCUAAAUUUCUUUGUUUAACUGGAAGCGAUCUUCCUCAUAGAACAGGCAGGUUCUUUCUGCAGUUUGCCUUGUUUAUGGUGCCGUUACAAAUUUCACUUUUCUUUCUAGUACUACAAUCAAGUCUGGGAGUUCAGUGUAAUGCCAACGGGUAUUUCAUUAACACUGCCACCUCUAGCAUCUUCAAGGGAAUCACCUCAGGCACAACAUUACUUCGGGACCGCAUUUAUUGUAUUUGGAUAAAGUAAAAUAAAAACGUAAACCUUCUAACACAAACUUCACUCAACAGUGGAAACUCAGAGGGCCAUAAAUUCCAGAGGAACUGUGAGAAAAGUGUUCCUGUCCCCACCCAUCUGAAUUUGAGUGAAAUCCAUUGGAAUCAAGGAAAUGAUCCUUAAAAAGAAGAUGCUGCUGCAUCUCAGACGACAGAUUUUACCUCUUCAAAGGAUUUAUUUUUUUUGCCCACCUUACCUGAGGUUGGCAUUUCUAAAGGUCAACUGUUUCUGAAAUGAGGUAUCUUAUCUAAACCACCAAAGGGGAUGAAGGAGUAGGAGGUAGCAGCACUGCUCACCCCUCAAAACCAUUUGAAAAAAAAAAGAUCCAAGGAGCCUGUCAGAACAAGUAAUGAUCGGGAAAUCUAAGGAGAAACCAUGGUGGACGGAAGAAAACAUUUGACCAAUGAAGGAAUUUGUUUUUCUUGAUGACGCAUAUUUGCUACAAUACCUUCUUUUU
Long non-coding RNA from Phascolarctos cinereus (koala), 838 nucleotides. RefSeq lists it as uncharacterized. The record is from RefSeq and is a predicted model, not a curated record. NCBI's taxonomy places the organism in Eukaryota, Metazoa, Chordata, Mammalia, Diprotodontia, Phascolarctidae.